GCUUUUAAAGGAUAAAAGAAAUCCGUUGGCCUUAGGAGCCAAAAACUCUUGGUGCAAGUCCAAGUAAAAGCU
RNAcentral lists this transfer RNA (72 nucleotides) under Synodus macrops (triplecross lizardfish). Its description in RNAcentral is "tRNA-Leu". It matches the Rfam family "tRNA". From Rfam's summary of the family: Transfer RNA (tRNA) molecules are approximately 80 nucleotides in length. Lineage: Eukaryota; Metazoa; Chordata; Actinopteri; Aulopiformes; Synodontidae. The record is from RNAcentral.